Molecule: transfer RNA, 54 nt
Filed under: Trioceros cristatus
Lineage: Eukaryota; Metazoa; Chordata; Lepidosauria; Squamata; Chamaeleonidae
Description: tRNA-Cys
Source: RNAcentral
AAGUCCAGGGUUUAUUAUAACCAAAUGGGGGAUUUGCACUCCGAGGGCUGGACU